Long non-coding RNA from Carassius auratus (goldfish), 396 nucleotides. RefSeq lists it as uncharacterized. The record is from RefSeq and is a predicted model, not a curated record. The transcript is spliced from 3 exons. NCBI's taxonomy places the organism in Eukaryota, Metazoa, Chordata, Actinopteri, Cypriniformes, Cyprinidae.
UCAAGCAAAAGGAGGUUAUCACUUUUUGAUGAUGUCUUCUUCGAUUUUACAUCAAGAGGAUCCAUAGACAGUGGUUAUGGGAUUCAAAAUUUGUCAGUCACAGAAGAUUCAGCACCUGGGUCUUUCAGCUCAUAACAUGAAAAUGCACCUGUGCGAUAAAGACCAGAGCAAAUUAAGUGGUGGAUGUCCGAUGAACAGAAAAGACAUUUAAUUAUUUAAAGAAAUUGUAUUUAAAAUAUUUAUAAAAUAAUCUCAGGAAACCAACAUAAUUAUACAUACAUUUACUGGGUUGAUUUCAGAUUAUAUAUCUUAUGUCUUUCAAAGCAAAUUCAGAUGACUAUAUACAAACUGUGUAGUGUAAAUAAUAUUAAAAAAAUAAGAACAUUGUAUAAAGCA